CUUACAAUGGCGCCCGUUGGUGCUCGUGCCGGUUGUCACGCCGGUGCAGUUAAACGGGAAGCAGAGGAAGCCGGUCCAUCGGGCCGUCGUCCAGCCUGCGCUGCCCCCGCAACGGUCAGCGGACGGCGCGUCAUCGCGCCAACUCGUGUGCAACGCCACUGGGGGUCAUGUCCUGGGAAGGCCGCACGGGUCGUUCCGCCAGCCCGGAUACCGGCCAACGAGGUGGGACACGU
Molecule: non-coding RNA, 233 nt
Filed under: Rhizobacter gummiphilus
Lineage: Bacteria; Pseudomonadati; Pseudomonadota; Betaproteobacteria; Burkholderiales; Sphaerotilaceae
Source: RNAcentral